UGAGGAUAAACAUCCCUAAGCUCUACUUCCUUCUCAUAAGGAAGGAGCAUAAGUCCCAUUCACCCAACUGCAACUUCAUCUCUCUGAAGAAGAGUGUGAACGAACUGACUGUGGAAGAGAAGCAGAAGUUCCGCAUUAAAAAAACAUGCAAUGAGGCCAUCACUAACUUUGAGUAGGAGGCAAAAAGCAGAAGAGGAGAGAUCAUCAAGACUGCCAUGGAUGAGAGAGGAGGAGAGACUGGACCUGUUUGAGUACUUUACAAAUGUUUUUCGGCUCUGUUUGGAGUAAUCACUGGUAGCGCAGUAGCCUAUUGUAAAUAUUGUCUGUCAUCAUU
Molecule: long non-coding RNA, 334 nt
Organism: Coregonus clupeaformis (lake whitefish)
Lineage: Eukaryota; Metazoa; Chordata; Actinopteri; Salmoniformes; Salmonidae
Exons: 3
Source: RefSeq, a predicted model, not a curated record